Molecule: small nuclear RNA, 84 nt
Filed under: Ictidomys tridecemlineatus (thirteen-lined ground squirrel)
Lineage: Eukaryota; Metazoa; Chordata; Mammalia; Rodentia; Sciuridae
Source: RNAcentral
GUGUUUGCUUUGGUAGCACAUAUACUAGAAAUUGCCCCUGCACAAGGAUGACAUGCAAAUUUGUGACGCAAAUUCCAUAUUUUU